AAAAAAGGUAAGCUACUAAGAGCGAAUGGUGGAUGCCUUGACUGGUAAAGGCGAUGAAGGACGUACUAGACUGCGAUAAGCUACGGGGAGCUGUCAAGAAGCUUUGAUCCGUAGAUUUCCGAAUGGGGCAACCCAAUGUAUAGAGAUAUACAUUACCUAUAUAGGAGCGAACGAGGGGAAUUGAAACAUCUUAGUACCCUCAGGAAAAGAAAUCAAUAGAGAUUGCGUCAGUAGCGGCGAGCGAAAGCGCAAGAGGGCAAACCCAGUGCUUGCACUGGGGGUUGUAGGACUGCAAUGUGCAAGAGGUGAGUUUAGCAGAACAUUCUGGAAAGUAUAGCCAUAGAGGGUGAUAGUCCCGUAUGCGAAAAACAAACCUUAGCUAGCAGUAUCCUGAGUAGGGCGGGACACGAGAAAUCCUGUCUGAAGCUGGGUCGACCACGAUCCAACCCUAAAUACUAAUACCAGAUCGAUAGUGCACAAGUACCGUGAGGGAAAGGUGAAAAGAACUGAGGUGAUCAGAGUGAAAUAGAACCUGAAACCAUUUGCUUACAAUCAUUCAGAGCACUAUGUAGCAAUACAGUGUGAUGGACUGCCUUUUGCAUAAUGAGCCUGCGAGUUGUGGUGUCUGGCAAGGUUAAGCAAACGCGAAGCCGUAGCGAAAGCGAGUCUGAAUAGGGCGCUUAGUCAGAUGCUGCAGACCCGAAACGAAGUGAUCUAUCCAUGAGCAAGUUGAAGCUAGUGUAAGAACUAGUGGAGGACUGAACCCAUAGGCGUUGAAAAGCCCCGGGAUGACUUGUGGAUAGGGGUGAAAGGCCAAUCAAACUUCGUGAUAGCUGGUUCUCUCCGAAAUAUAUUUAGGUAUAGCGUUGUGUCGUAAUAUAAGGGGGUAGAGCACUGAAUGGGCUAGGGCAUACACCAAUGUACCAAACCCUAUCAAACUCCGAAUACCUUAUAUGUAAUCACAGCAGUCAGGCGGCGAGUGAUAAAAUCCGUCGUCAAGAGGGAAACAACCCAGACUACCAGCUAAGGUCCCUAAAUCUUACUUAAGUGGAAAACGAUGUGAAGUUACUUAAACAACCAGGAGGUUGGCUUAGAAGCAGCCAUCCUUUAAAGAAAGCGUAAUAGCUCACUGGUCUAGUGAUUUUGCGCGGAAAAUAUAACGGGGCUAAAGUAAGUACCGAAGCUGUAGACUUGACUUUGUCAAGUGGUAGGAGAGCGUUCUAUUUGCGUCGAAGGUAUACCGGUAAGGAGUGCUGGAGCGAAUAGAAGUGAGCAUGCAGGCAUGAGUAGCGAUAAUUAAUGUGAGAAUCAUUAACGCCGUAAACCCAAGGUUUCCUACGCGAUGCUCGUCAUCGUAGGGUUAGUCGGGUCCUAAGUCGAGUCCGAAAGGGGUAGACGAUGGCAAAUUGGUUAAUAUUCCAAUACCAACAUUAGUGUGCGAUGGAAGGACGCUUAGGGCUAAGGGGGCUAGCGGAUGGAAGUGCUAGUCUAAGGUCGUAGGUGCUUAUACAGGCAAAUCCGUAUAAGAAUACACCGAGAACUGAAAGGCUUUUUGAAAUCUUCGGAUGGAUAGAAGAACCCCUGAUGCCGUCGAGCCAAGAAAAGUUUCUAAGUUUAGCUAAUGUUGCCCGUACCGUAAACCGACACAGGUGGGUGGGAUGAGUAUUCUAAGGCGCGUGGAAGAACUCUCUUUAAGGAACUCUGCAAAAUAGCACCGUAUCUUCGGUAUAAGGUGUGGUUCGCUUCGUAUUAGGAUUUACUCCGAAAGCGAAGAAACUUACAACAAAGAGUCCCUCCCGACUGUUUACCAAAAACACAGCACUCUGCUAACUCGUAAGAGGAUGUAUAGGGUGUGACGCCUGCCCGGUGCUCGAAGGUUAAUUGAUGGGGUUAGCAUUAGCGAAGCUCUUGAUCGAAGCCCGAGUAAACGGCGGCCGUAACUAUAACGGUCCUAAGGUAGCGAAAUUCCUUGUCGGUUAAAUACCGACCUGCAUGAAUGGCGUAACGAGAUGGGAGCUGUCUCAAAGAGGGAUCCAGUGAAAUUGUAGUGGAGGUGAAAAUUCCUCCUACCCGCGGCAAGACGGAAAGACCCCGUGGACCUUUACUACAGCUUGACACUGCUACUUGGAUAAGAAUGUGCAGGAUAGGUGGGAGGCUUUGAGUAUAUGACGCCAGUUGUAUAUGAGCCAUUGUUGAGAUACCACUCUUUCUUAUUUGGGUAGCUAACCAGCUUGAGUUAUCCUCAAGUGGGACAAUGUCUGGUGGGUAGUUUGACUGGGGCGGUCGCCUCCCAAAUAAUAACGGAGGCUUACAAAGGUUGGCUCAGAACGGUUGGAAAUCGUUCGUAGAGUAUAAAGGUAUAAGCCAGCUUAACUGCAAGACAUACAAGUCAAGCAGAGACGAAAGUCGGUCUUAGUGAUCCGGUGGUUCUGUGUGGAAGGGCCAUCGCUCAAAGGAUAAAAGGUACCCCGGGGAUAACAGGCUGAUCUCCCCCAAGAGCUCACAUCGACGGGGAGGUUUGGCACCUCGAUGUCGGCUCAUCGCAUCCUGGGGCUGGAGCAGGUCCCAAGGGUAUGGCUGUUCGCCAUUUAAAGCGGUACGCGAGCUGGGUUCAGAACGUCGUGAGACAGUUCGGUCCCUAUCUGCCGUGGGCGUAAGAAGAUUGAAGAGAUUUGACCCUAGUACGAGAGGACCGGGUUGAACAAACCACUGGUGUAGCUGUUGUUCUGCCAAGAGCAUCGCAGCGUAGCUAAGUUUGGAAAGGAUAAACGCUGAAAGCAUCUAAGCGUGAAGCCAACUCUAAGAUGAAUCUUCUCUAAGCUCUCUAGAAGACUACUAGUUUGAUAGGCUGGGUGUGUAAUGGAUGAAAGUCCUUUAGCUGACCAGUACUAAUAGAGCGUUUGGCUUAUCUUUAAUAAAGCAU
RNAcentral lists this ribosomal RNA (2923 nucleotides) under Campylobacter coli. RNAcentral's name for it is "23S ribosomal RNA". It matches the Rfam family "Bacterial large subunit ribosomal RNA". Lineage: Bacteria; Pseudomonadati; Campylobacterota; Epsilonproteobacteria; Campylobacterales; Campylobacteraceae. The record is from RNAcentral.